AAACUAUGUAAUCAGGUGUAGCAGGAUUAGGUGAGCUGUGAUUGACAGCUACUGUCACCUAUCAGGAAGGGGCAGUCCCUUUUUAAGCACUGAUUGGCUGCUGCUCGGAAUGCGUCAUGUCCUGUGUUUCCCCCGGGUGUUUGUAGCAAUAGCGACAGCGUGUUUGUCCAGCGUACUGGUGCCCUUGUGCUGUUGGUGGCUUAAAUGACUGUGCACCCUCAGUUGGCUGUGGUUGACCUGUUGUAGGUUAAACAGUGCUGUAAAAGACGUUAAUGUGUCUGGGGUGAUGCCACUGUGCGGGUUCUCCCUUUUGUUCUACGUGGUUUCCUCUGGUUGCUGCCUGUUUGAGUCUCGUGCUGUUUUAUCGCACCGCUGUAACAUUACAUUAUUGUCACUGUUGUAAACCGGACCGUCCACUGUCUGGUUUCUGACUUGAGUGUGUAUUAUCUUGAAGUGGAGGAUUAGCGCAUUGGAGCCGGCGUAUGGACUUUGGUGUUUGCGCCAUGACUUUCGUGUAGCUUCAGCUGCCAGUUUUCUUUGUUUGUUUGUUUUUGCUUUAUUGUAAAAUUUGUAUAUUAUUGUUUUGAAUAUGUAUUUUGCUUAAUAUCCUUUCAGGAGCUGGGGUCCCCACGGGUGAGGGAUCUUGUGGUGGUGGUGGUACCGCUCAACGGUUCCCGUGUUACACAUUUGAAGUGUAUAUGUGUGUGUACAUUGAGUUCACGGUGUGGUGUGCGAAAGUGUGCUUUUGGACAACUUGUGCCAGUGAUCCCUUAAGUGGGUAACCUCAGCUCUGUAGGUUUGUGUAUUGUUUUAAUUAGUUUAUUAUUUGUCUUCCUUUCCACGCACUGCAUUGUAGCAGUGAGGACCAUUAAACCUUCAAUUGUUUUGUAUUUUUGUGUAACUUUGUGAUUGUGAUGUUUUAUGUCAUU
Non-coding RNA from Misgurnus anguillicaudatus (oriental weatherfish), 929 nucleotides. The record is from RefSeq and is a predicted model, not a curated record. Lineage: Eukaryota; Metazoa; Chordata; Actinopteri; Cypriniformes; Cobitidae.